This 492-nucleotide ribosomal RNA is filed under the name uncultured bacterium. RNAcentral describes it as "partial 16S ribosomal RNA". It matches the Rfam family "Bacterial small subunit ribosomal RNA", at positions 38 to 507 of the family's 1533-position model. The record is from RNAcentral.
GGGGGGGGGGGGGGGGGGGGCGGGGGCGGGGGGGUGGGGCGGCAGGAGAGGAAGAGGGUGCUCUUAGGGGGGGCGAGUGGCGGAGGGGUGGGGAAUCCAUCGGAAUCUACUUUUUCGUGGGGGAUGACGUCGGGCAACUUCGGCUAAUACCGCAUACGACCUACGGGUGAAAGCAGGGGAUCUUCGGACCUUGCGCGAUUGAAUGAGCCGAUGUCGGAGUAGCUAGUUGGCGGGGUAAAGGCCCACCAAGGCGACGAUCCGUAGCUGGUCUGAGAGGAUGAUCAGCCACACUGGAACUGAGACACGGUCCAGACUCCUACGGGAGGCAGCAGUGGGGAAUAUUGGACAAUGGGCGCAAGCCUGAUCCAGCCAUACCGCGUGAGUGAAGAAGGCCUUCGGGUUGUAAAGCCCUUUUGUUGGGAAAGAAAAGCAGCAGGUUAAUACCCCGCUGUUCUGACGGUACCCAAAGAAUAAGCACCGGCUAACUUCGUG